CGACCGGCGCACGGGUGAGUAACGCGUAUGCAACCUGCCUGAUACCGGGGUAUAGCCCAUGGAAACGUGGAUUAACACCCCAUAGUACUUUUAUCCUGCAUGGGAUGUGAGUUAAAUGUUCAAGGUAUCGGAUGGGCAUGCGUCCUAUUAGUUAGUUGGCGGGGUAACGGCCCACCAAGACGAUGAUAGGUAGGGGUUCUGAGAGGAAGGUCCCCCACAUUGGAACUGAGACACGGUCCAA
This 241-nucleotide ribosomal RNA is filed under the name uncultured bacterium. RNAcentral's name for it is "partial 16S ribosomal RNA". It matches the Rfam family "Bacterial small subunit ribosomal RNA", at positions 92 to 334 of the family's 1533-position model. The record is from RNAcentral.